UGGGGAAUCUUCCGCAAUGGACGAAAGUCUGACGGAGCAACGCCGCGUGAGUGAAGACGGCCUUCGGGUUGUAAAGCUCUGUGAUUCGGGACGAAAGGCCAUAUGUGAAUAAUAUAUGGAAAUGACGGUACCGAAAAAGCAAGCCACGGCUAACUACGUGCCAGCAGCCGCGGUAAUACGUAGGUGGCAAGCGUUGUCCGGAAUUAUUGGGCGUAAAGCGCGCGCAGGCGGUCACUUAAGUCCAUCUUAGAAGUGCGGGGCUUAACCCCGUGAUGGGAUGGAAACUGGGAGACUGGAGUAUCGGAGAGGAAAGUGGAAUUCCUAGUUUAGCGGUGAAAUGCGUAGAUAUUAGGAAGAACACCGGUGGCGAAGGCGACUUUCUGGACGAAAACUGACGCUGAGGCGCGAAAGCGUGGGGAGCAAACAGG
Molecule: ribosomal RNA, 428 nt
Filed under: bacterium
Lineage: Bacteria
Description: partial 16S ribosomal RNA
Rfam family: Bacterial small subunit ribosomal RNA
Source: RNAcentral